Long non-coding RNA from Carassius carassius (crucian carp), 1090 nucleotides. RefSeq lists it as uncharacterized. The transcript has 2 exons. Lineage: Eukaryota; Metazoa; Chordata; Actinopteri; Cypriniformes; Cyprinidae. The record is from RefSeq and is a predicted model, not a curated record.
UGAUAAAAACGGAAGUAUACAUUAAGCAAUAAUUUAGCUAAAAUUCAUUUGACACUAAUCAAAAAGAAGCAGUGGGGCAUAAAAACAGUCUCUUCAGUGGGUUGUACCUCACUGUCAAUCAUUCAGCUGUCAAAACAGAGAAAAUUUUCCAAAACAUUUCAAGUGGAAAUAAAACGUAUAAAAUUGUAUCACGUAUUGCAUGUCUAUCUUUCACAUCAUUAUUUUAAAAUUUGAAUAUAAAAAGUUUUCAAAUUAUUUUAUAUCACUGGUGAAAGUGAUUUCACCAAGUAGCAAUGUUCCUUGAUCCUGAAAAAACAAAUCAAAACAAACAAACAACAACAAAACGUUCCAAUCAACCAAUCAGAAUUGAGUAAGUUUCAGGAACUGUCAGUUUUAGGCUUACAACCAGGGUUAGGUGCAUCAUUUGCCUCUGAUUUUAGGAAUAAAUUAUGGUUAGGGUUAGGUUUAGAGGAACUAAAGGGAGCAAUAUUGAGCUAUAUUGCAUACUGCAAUCAGAGAAUUACUUUACUGCUUAUUUAUGUUGAAAAUAAUGCUUUCCAUGCAAAAAUGUGUGUUAGUACGAUCAUCACUAAACACAUCAAAUGUUGUCAUCGAGUGUUUUUUGGAAGUGGAGUGAUGUAUAUUGUCAUAUGCCUUGUUUUAUUUUUCAUUUUAUAAACUGAUCUAUGAUGAACUAUGGUGUUUCUCACCUUGCCAUCAGCAUCAGCCUUCCAGUUGCACAAUCAUGAUACGUGCACAUGAAUUUCCAUGCGUGAACUGUUGUUUUCAUUUUUAACAGAAGAUUAUCUCAAGAAUAUGCCCCAUUCUACCUUUGAGUAUUGGAUCUGUAUCUGAACAUGCUGUAUAUAUAUCUCAUGUAGUGUCUUUAUUAUGGAUACGAAAGGCAAAUUAUACAGUACAUAAAUAAUAAGAUAUUAUCAGAUGUGCCGUGUGAAUCAUUCUUGUGAACUCUAACGGAGAAGUUAACAAAAUGUACCAGGCAACCAUAAGACAUUAACAUGUAAUUUAUCACUGAGAUUCAUGAAAGGUUGUUUGGAUGAUAUAAUAAAACAGUUAUAUAUUUAAUCAU